UACGAAGGGGGCUAGCGUUGUUCGGAAUUACUGGGCGUAAAGGGCGCGUAGGCGGCUUCUCAAGCGUGUGGUGAAAGUCCGGGGCUCAACCCCGGAUCGGCCGUGCGGACUGGGGAGCUCGAGUUCUGUAGAGGCGGGUGGAAUUCCGGGUGGUAGCGGUGGAAUGCGUAGAGAUCCGGAAGAACACCGGUGGCGAAGGCGGCCCGCUGGGCAGAGACUGACGCUGAGGCGCGACAGCGUGGGGAGCAAACAGG
RNAcentral lists this ribosomal RNA (254 nucleotides) under uncultured bacterium. Its description in RNAcentral is "partial 16S ribosomal RNA". It matches the Rfam family "Bacterial small subunit ribosomal RNA", at positions 524 to 776 of the family's 1533-position model. The record is from RNAcentral.